GACGAACGCUGGCGGCGUGCUUAACACAUGCAAGUCGAACGGUGAAGCCUUCGGGUGGAUCAGUGGCGAACGGGUGAGUAACACGUGGGCAAUCUGCCCUGCACUCUGGGACAAGCCCUGGAAACGGGGUCUAAUACCGGAUAUUACCUGUCCUCGCAUGGGGAUGGGUGGAAAGCUCCGGCGGUGCAGGAUGAGCCCGCGGCCUAUCAGCUUGUUGGUGGGGUGAUGGCCUACCAAGGCGACGACGGGUAGCCGGCCUGAGAGGGCGACCGGCCACACUGGGACUGAGACACGGCCCAGACUCCUACGGGAGGCAGCAGUGGGGAAUAUUGCACAAUGGGCGGAAGCCUGAUGCAGCGACGCCGCGUGAGGGAUGACGGCCUUCGGGUUGUAAACCUCUUUCAGCAGGGAAGAAGCGUGAGUGACGGUACCUGCAGAAGAAGCACCGGCUAACUACGUGCCAGCCGCCGCGGUAA
RNAcentral lists this ribosomal RNA (476 nucleotides) under uncultured bacterium. Its description in RNAcentral is "partial 16S ribosomal RNA". It matches the Rfam family "Bacterial small subunit ribosomal RNA", at positions 28 to 523 of the family's 1533-position model. The record is from RNAcentral.